GGAAGUCAGGCGACUAUCGGUUCGUCGCACCGGCGUGCUAAGCCGGCCGGCCGAAAGCCGGGGCGGGUUCGACUCCCGCGUCUUCCG
This 87-nucleotide transfer RNA is filed under the name Gemmataceae bacterium. RNAcentral describes it as "tRNA-Ser". Lineage: Bacteria; Pseudomonadati; Planctomycetota; Planctomycetia; Gemmatales; Gemmataceae. The record is from RNAcentral.